GUAGGUGGCAAGCGUUGUCCGGAAUUAUUGGGCGUAAAGCGCGCGCAGGCGGUCCUUUAAGUCUGAUGUGAAAGCCCACGGCUCAACCGUGGAGGGUCAUUGGAAACUGGGGGACUUGAGUACAGAAGAGGAAAGCGGAAUUCCACGUGUAGCGGUGAAAUGCGUAGAGAUGUGGAGGGACACCAGUGGCGAAGGCGGCUUUCUGGUCUGUAACUGACGCUGAGGCGCGAAAGCGUGGGGAGCAAACAGGGAUUAGAUACCCUGGUAGUCCACGCCGUAAACGAUGAGUGCUAAGUGUUAGGGGGUUUCCCGCCCCUUAGUGCUGCAGCUAACGCAUUAAGCACUCCGCCUGGGGAUACGGCCGCAAGGCUG
This 372-nucleotide ribosomal RNA is filed under the name uncultured organism. RNAcentral describes it as "partial 16S ribosomal RNA". It matches the Rfam family "Bacterial small subunit ribosomal RNA", at positions 527 to 896 of the family's 1533-position model. The record is from RNAcentral.